UACGUAGGUGGCAAGCGUUGUCCGGAAUUAUUGGGCGUAAAGCGCGCGCAGGCGGUCCUUUAAGUCUGGUGUGAAAGCCCACGGCUCAACCGUGGAAGGUCAUUGGAAACUGGGGGACUUGAGUGCAGAAGAGGAAAGUGGAAUUCCAAGUGUAGCGGUGAAAUGCGUAGAGAUUUGGAGGAACACCAGUGACGAAGGCGACUUUCUGGUCUGUAACUGACGCUGAGGCGCGAAAGCGUGGGGAGCAAACAGG
RNAcentral lists this ribosomal RNA (253 nucleotides) under uncultured bacterium. RNAcentral describes it as "partial 16S ribosomal RNA". It matches the Rfam family "Bacterial small subunit ribosomal RNA", at positions 524 to 776 of the family's 1533-position model. The record is from RNAcentral.